ACUCCUACGGGAGGCAGCAGUGGGGAAUAUUGCACAAUGGGGGAAACCCUGAUGCAGCCAUGCCGCGUGUGUGAAGAAGGCCUUCGGGUUGUAAAGCACUUUCAGUAGGGAGGAAGGUAGUGUAGUUAACACCUGCAUUAUUUGACGUUACCUACAGAAGAAGCACCGGCUAACUCCGUGCCAGCAGCCGCGGUAAUACGGAGGGUGCGAGCGUUAAUCGGAAUUACUGGGCGUAAAGCGCAUGCAGGCGGCCUGUUAAGUCAGAUGUGAAAGCCCGGGGUCUUAACCUCGGAAUUGCAUUUGAAACUGGCAGGCUAGAGUCUUGUAGAGGGGUUAGAAUUUCAGGUGUAGCGGUGAAAUGCGUAGAGAUCUGAAGGAUACCAGUGGCGAAGGCGGCCCCUGGACAAAGACUGACGCUCAGAUGCGAAAGCGUGGGAGCAAACAGGAUUAGAUACCCCGUGGUAGCGACUGA
RNAcentral lists this ribosomal RNA (472 nucleotides) under uncultured bacterium. RNAcentral describes it as "bacterial SSU rRNA". It matches the Rfam family "Bacterial small subunit ribosomal RNA", at positions 335 to 803 of the family's 1533-position model. The record is from RNAcentral.